GAUGAACGCUGGCGGCGUGCCUAAUACAUGCAAGUCGAGCGAACAGACGAGGAGCUUGCUCCUCUGACGUUAGCGGCGGACGGGUGAGUAACACGUGGAUAACCUACCUAUAAGACUGGGAUAACUUCGGGAAACCGGAGCUAAUACCGGAUAAUAUAUUGCACCGCAUGGUUCAAUAGUGAAAGACGGUUUUGCUGUCACUUAUAGAUGGAUCCGCGCCGCAUUAGCUAGUUGGUAAGGUAACGGCUUACCAAGGCAACGAUGCGUAGACGACCGGCGUGGGUGGUCGGCCACACUGGAACGGAGACACGGUCCAGACGCCUGCGGGAGGCAGCAGUAGGGAAUCUUCCGCAGUGGUCGAAAGCCUGACGGAGCAACGCCGCGUGAGUUAUGAAGGUCUUCGGAUCGUAAAACUCUGUUAUUAGGUAAGAACAAAUGUGGAAGUAACUAUGCACGUCGUGACGGUACCUAGUCAGAAAGCCACGGCUAACUACGUG
RNAcentral lists this ribosomal RNA (497 nucleotides) under uncultured bacterium. RNAcentral describes it as "partial 16S ribosomal RNA". It matches the Rfam family "Bacterial small subunit ribosomal RNA", at positions 28 to 507 of the family's 1533-position model. The record is from RNAcentral.